AUUUCCCUGCUGUGUUCGUGUAGGCAUACAUUCCUUUGAACCAAUAAAGUUUGCUAUAGGUUGUCGGGAGUUGUAACAGGAGCGAGUGUUCCCCCGUUGGAAUGCACCCGAAGUUACCCGAGAUGACCGCCCUUGUUUAACAAGGUUCAAGCGGACUCAGCCGAAAGCGGCACAAGCGGGGUUCUA
Molecule: non-coding RNA, 186 nt
Filed under: Alysiella crassa
Lineage: Bacteria; Pseudomonadati; Pseudomonadota; Betaproteobacteria; Neisseriales; Neisseriaceae
Description: 6S / SsrS RNA
Rfam family: 6S / SsrS RNA
About the family: E. coli 6S RNA was the first non coding RNA to be sequenced, but its function was unknown until recently. It consists of 184 nucleotides that fold into an extended hairpin structure with a large single-stranded internal bulge.
Source: Rfam by way of RNAcentral